Molecule: transfer RNA, 78 nt
Filed under: Candidatus Eiseniibacteriota bacterium
Lineage: Bacteria; Candidatus Eiseniibacteriota
Description: Candidatus Eisenbacteria bacterium tRNA-Met
Rfam family: tRNA
About the family: Transfer RNA (tRNA) molecules are approximately 80 nucleotides in length. Their secondary structure includes four short double-helical elements and three loops (D, anti-codon, and T loops).
Source: RNAcentral
GAGCGCAUACGACAGAUCGAAGGUGAGAGCGCCCGGCUCAUAACCGGGUGGUCCUUGGUUCGAGUCCAAGUGGGCCCA